This is a long non-coding RNA of Oncorhynchus tshawytscha (Chinook salmon), 461 nucleotides long. NCBI's taxonomy places the organism in Eukaryota, Metazoa, Chordata, Actinopteri, Salmoniformes, Salmonidae. The record is from Ensembl.
CCGUGUCCUAUGCCAAAGUUUAGCAGAAAGUUUAGCAAAACAGACUUCUAUGGACACGGGUAAGCCUCGGGCAAGGAGCGAACAACCACUGUAGACACAGAUCUCAGUUAUUUAACGUUAGUUAUUACAGACAGAUCUGGCAUUUCUCCAUCUGGAAAAUACUACUUACAACACAACUGCAAUUAUUUUAUUUUAUAUUUGUCCAAGAUAGCUAGCUGCAAAGCUAGCAAGCUAGUUAAUUUAAGAUAUCUCUAGAUCCAGUUCGCCAGCAGAGCAGCACUCGCCAAAAAGACAGCAAACCAAAAGCUGCCAACAUUGCAGUGGGUGCCAGAUAGACAAUGGUGCAGGAAGGACCACAGAAAAGUGUUUGCUUAACGUAUGACUUCAUAUUGAGUAAAAUGUCAUUUCACUCAAGUUCAUAUUGAGAUUUCGAGUGACUGACAUGAAUUGGAAUGUAAAAA